CCGCCUUUGGUUACAAAAACAUGUCCUCUUGAUAAUGUUUUGAGGUCUGGCCUGCUCACUGAAAUUUUUAAAGAGCCGCGGUAUUUUGACCGUGCAAAGGUAGCAUAAUCAUUAGUCUCUUAAUUAGAGGCUGGAAUGAAUGGUUUGACGAGAAAUUAACUGUCUCUUAAUAAAUUUUAAAAUUUAACUUUUGAGUUAAAAGGCUUAAAUUUUUCUUUAGGACGAGAAGACCCUAUAGAGAUUAACAUCUAAAUUAAGUAUUUUUUUAAGAUGGUUUUUUUAUAUUUAAUGGUAAUUGGUUUUGUUGGGGUGACAUGAAGAAUUAAUAAACUCUUUAUUAUAAAAUCAUUGAUUUAUGUUUAUUUUGAUCCAUAAUUUAUGAUCAUAAGAUCAAGUUACCUUAGGGAUAACAGCGUAAUUGUUUUUUAGAGCUCAUAUUGACAAAGCAGAUUGCGACCUCGAUGUUGGAUUAAGAAAAAUUUUGGGUGCAGUAGCUCAAUGAUUAGGUCUGUUCGGCCUUUAAA
This 524-nucleotide ribosomal RNA is filed under the name Chorthippus intermedius. RNAcentral describes it as "partial 16S ribosomal RNA". It matches the Rfam family "Archaeal large subunit ribosomal RNA", at positions 1888 to 2661 of the family's 2987-position model. Lineage: Eukaryota; Metazoa; Arthropoda; Insecta; Orthoptera; Acrididae. The record is from RNAcentral.